This 493-nucleotide ribosomal RNA is filed under the name uncultured bacterium. Its description in RNAcentral is "bacterial SSU rRNA". It matches the Rfam family "Bacterial small subunit ribosomal RNA", at positions 28 to 505 of the family's 1533-position model. The record is from RNAcentral.
GAUGAACGCUAGCGGCAGGCUUAAUACAUGCAAGUUGAGGGGCAGCAUGAUAUACGCGAGUAUAUUGAUGGCGACCGGCGGACGGGUGAGUAAUAGGUAGGAGACCUACCUCAUACAGGGGGAUAGCAUAGAGAAAUCUGUGGUAAUACCCCAUGAGGUUAUAUGAAUAGAGGCAUAUAAUCAAAGCAUAAGCGAUUAUGCGGUAUGAGAGGGGCCUACUGACCAUUAGCUAGUUGGUGAGGUAAGGGCUCACCAAGGCGAAGAUGGUUAGGGGUUUUGAGAGAGAGACCCCCCACAUUGGAACUGAGAGACGGUCCAGACUCCUACGGGAGGCAGCAGUAGGGAAUAUUGGGCAAUGGGCGAAAGCCUGACCCAGCCAUGCCGCGUGAAGGAAGACGGCCUUAUGGGUUGUAGACUUCUUUACUACGCGAAUAGAGGUUAGUACGAGAUACUAAUAGGAAGGUAGUGUAGUAAAAAGCACCGGCUAACUCCG